GAUCCGUGACCUACUUAUGCCCU
This 23-nucleotide ribosomal RNA is filed under the name Trebouxia jamesii. RNAcentral describes it as "partial 18S ribosomal RNA". The record is from RNAcentral. Lineage: Eukaryota; Viridiplantae; Chlorophyta; Trebouxiophyceae; Trebouxiales; Trebouxiaceae.